Cornus florida is the source of this 118-nucleotide small nuclear RNA. RefSeq annotates it as U5 spliceosomal RNA. The record is from RefSeq and is a predicted model, not a curated record. NCBI's taxonomy places the organism in Eukaryota, Viridiplantae, Streptophyta, Magnoliopsida, Cornales, Cornaceae. The transcript has a single exon.
AGCCGUGUUUCGAGCACAUAGCGAACUAUUCUUUCGCCUUUUACUAAAGAAUACCGUGUGCUCAUCACUUAUUGCGGCAUACGCCCAUUUUUGGAGGGGGGUUUUCUCUAGAAACUCU